Molecule: ribosomal RNA, 501 nt
Filed under: uncultured bacterium
Lineage: Bacteria
Description: partial 16S ribosomal RNA
Rfam family: Bacterial small subunit ribosomal RNA
Source: RNAcentral
AUUGAACGCUGGCGGCAUGCCUUACACAUGCAAGUCGAACGGCAGCACGGGUGCUUGCACCUGGUGGCGAGUGGCGAACGGGUGAGUAAUAUAUCGGAACGUACCUUAUUGUGGGGGAUAACGCAGCGAAAGCUGUGCUAAUACCGCAUAAUCCCUAAGGGGGAAAGCGGGGGACCGUAAGGCCUCGCGCAAUUAGAGCGGCCGAUACCUGAUUAGCUAGUUGGUGAGGUAAAGGCUCACCAAGGCAACGAUCAGUAGCUGGCCUGAGAGGACGAUCAGCCACACUGGGACUGAAACACGGCCCAGACUCCUACGGGAGGCAGCAGUGGGGAAUUUUGGACAAUGGGGGCAACCCUGAUCCAGCAAUGCCGCGUGAGUGAAGAAGGCCUUCGGGUUGUAAAGCUCUUUUGUCAGGGAAGAAACAGCAGCUCUAACACAGUAUGCGAAUGACGGUACCUGAAGAAUAAGCACCGGCUAACUACGUGCCAGCAGCCGCGGUAA